Molecule: ribosomal RNA, 495 nt
Filed under: uncultured bacterium
Lineage: Bacteria
Description: bacterial SSU rRNA
Rfam family: Bacterial small subunit ribosomal RNA
Source: RNAcentral
AAGUAACGCUAGCUAUAUGCUUAACACAUGCAAGUCGAACGUUGUUUUCGGGCGCGCUUGUCUCGCCUUGAGAACAAAGUGGCGAACGGGUGCGUAACGCGUGGUAAUCUGCCCCGGACUCUGGGAUAAGCGUUGGAAACGACGUCUAAUACCGGAUAUGAAGCGUGGAGGCAUCUUCUGCGUUUGGAAAGAUUUUUUGGUUUGGGAUGAGCUCGCGGCCUAUCAGCUUGUUGGUGAGGUAAUGGCUUACCAAGGCGACGACGGGUAGCCGGCCUGAGAGGGUGACCGGCCACACUGGGACUGAGACACGGCCCAGACUCCUACGGGAGGCAGCAGUGGGGAAUAUUGCACAAUGGGCGCAAGCCUGAUGCAGCAACGCCGCGUGAGGGAUGACGGCCUUCGGGUUGUAAACCUCUUUUAGUAGGGAAGAAGCGUAAGUGACGGUACCUGCAGAAAAAGCACCGGCUAACUACGUGCCAGCAGCCGCCGUAAAAC